RNAcentral lists this ribosomal RNA (329 nucleotides) under uncultured eukaryote. RNAcentral describes it as "partial 18S ribosomal RNA". It matches the Rfam family "Eukaryotic small subunit ribosomal RNA", at positions 1470 to 1796 of the family's 1831-position model. The record is from RNAcentral.
CCCUUAGAUGUUCUGGGCCGCACGCGCGCUACACUGACGAUGGCAACGAGUUUUUCCUUCGCCGAAAGGUGUGGGUAAUCUUUUGAAACAUCGUCGUGCUGGGGAUAGAUCAUUGCAAUUUUUGAUCUUGAACGAGGAAUUCCUAGUAAGCGCGAGUCAUCAGCUCGCGUUGAUUACGUCCCUUCCCUUUGUACACACCGCCCGUCGCUACUACCGAUUGAAUGGUUUAGUGAGGACUCCUGAUUGGCGCCGCCGCCCCGGCAACGGAGCAGCGGACUGCCGAAAAGUUGUUCAAACUUGAUCAUUUAGAGGAAGUAAAAGUCGUAACA